Dallia pectoralis (Alaska blackfish) is the source of this 72-nucleotide non-coding RNA. NCBI's taxonomy places the organism in Eukaryota, Metazoa, Chordata, Actinopteri, Esociformes, Umbridae. The record is from the annotation of a GenBank genome assembly.
GUUGGUGUAACUCAGUGGUAGAGUGCGUGCUUUGUGUGUAUGAUGUCCUGGGUUCAAUCUCCAGCUUUUCCC